CGGGUGAGUAACACGUGGAUAACCUACCUAUAAGACUGGGAUAACUUCGGGAGACCGGAGCUAAUACCGGAUAAUAUAUUGAACCGCAUGGUUCAAUAGUGAAAGACGGUUUUGCUGUCACUUAUAGAUGGAUCCGCGCCGCAUUAGCUAGUUGGUAAGGUAACGGCUUACCAAGGCAACGAUGCGUAGCCGACCUGAGAGGGUGAUCGGCCACACUGGAACUGAGACACGGUCCAGACUCCUACGGGAGCAGCAGAG
RNAcentral lists this ribosomal RNA (258 nucleotides) under uncultured Staphylococcus sp. Its description in RNAcentral is "partial 16S ribosomal RNA". It matches the Rfam family "Bacterial small subunit ribosomal RNA", at positions 103 to 354 of the family's 1533-position model. The record is from RNAcentral. Lineage: Bacteria; Bacillati; Bacillota; Bacilli; Caryophanales; Staphylococcaceae.